CCUACGGGAGGCAGCAGUGGGGGAUAUUGCACAAUGGGGGAAACCCUGAUGCAGCGACGCCGCGUGUAGGAAGACGGUCCUCUGGAUUGUAAACUACUGUCCCCAGGGACGAAGAUGACGGUACCUGGGGAGGAAGCUCCGGCUAACUACGUGCCAGCAGCCGCGGUAAUACGUAGGGAGCGAGCGUUGUCCGUAAUUACUGGGUGGAAAGGGAGCGUAGGCGGGGAUGCAAGUUGGGUGUUAAAUCUACCGGCUCAACUGGUAGUCGCACUCAAAACUGCAGCUCUUGAGUGAAGUAGAGGCAGGCGGAAUUCCUAGUGUAGCGGUGAAAUGCGUAGAUAUUAGGAGGAACACCAGUGGCGAAGGCGGCCUGCUGGGCUUUUACUGACGCUGAGGCUCGAAAGUGUGGGGAGCAAACAGGAUUAGAUACCCUAGUAGUC
Molecule: ribosomal RNA, 440 nt
Filed under: uncultured bacterium
Lineage: Bacteria
Description: partial 16S ribosomal RNA
Rfam family: Bacterial small subunit ribosomal RNA
Source: RNAcentral